Molecule: ribosomal RNA, 852 nt
Filed under: Triticum aestivum (bread wheat)
Lineage: Eukaryota; Viridiplantae; Streptophyta; Magnoliopsida; Poales; Poaceae
Description: partial small subunit ribosomal RNA
Source: RNAcentral
AUGUUGUGGUCAAACUGCAUGGGUCAGUACAACAUGCUAGACUAUUUGGGACAGUAUGACCGGCAGUCAAGUAAAACGAUGGCCGUGAUCAGGAAAUUGGCGAAUGUAUUUUGCGGGACAUACCAAAAGUUGUGUAUCAGUAAGCUGGUGGACACCAAGUUCGUGGAGGUGGAUGAGCAGAUCAUGAGAUGCGUCGUCCAGAGGAUUGCUCGGUAUCGCCAAGAAGGUGGAUCAAGUAGCCCCCAGCCCCAGCAAUGGCCAAAUCUUGGCCCACUUCUACACAAGAUGGUGCACGAGUACCCUGAUUCCAACUUUGAUCAUCAGUCCAUUAUCAAAUUCCAUAUAAUUACAGAGGUAUGGCUGAGUAGGUAUAUACCCACCGGCACUGCUGUGGACAGAGAGUCUAGUGAUGCUUUGGUUCGUGUGUGCCGAAUGAUAUCCCGCUAUAUGGUUUAUCUUUUGGCCAACCGCCCUGAAAUGCUGCCAAUCUACGAUGGCGGCCAAAGUAGUCUUCGGUCAGUAGCAUGGCUUUGUGAAGACUUGCAAGGUGCGGAUGUUAAUGACAUCCUCCAUCGGACAAUUUUGUUGUCGACUAAAGAUGAUAUACCGGAGACCCCGGAGGAGUGCAGAAAAGAGCAGCUGUUGGAGAUCGAAGAGUUAUGGGUAGGUCUGCUCCUCCAUGCCGCCAGCAAGUCACGGCCGGAGAUGCAUGCAGCACUGCUAGCCAGAGGAGGGGAGCUCCUUACCUUCAUCUGGCUGCUCAUGGCCCACUACAGACUUGGGGAUGUGGUGAACUGCCCCAUCGAGAUGACGGCUAAUGCAACUAUUGGUCAGCGCCACUACGCCUUCUGA